RNAcentral lists this ribosomal RNA (426 nucleotides) under uncultured Actinomycetes bacterium. RNAcentral describes it as "bacterial SSU rRNA". It matches the Rfam family "Bacterial small subunit ribosomal RNA", at positions 233 to 671 of the family's 1533-position model. The record is from RNAcentral. Lineage: Bacteria; Bacillati; Actinomycetota; Actinomycetes.
GCGGCCUAUCAGCUUGUUGGUGGGGUAGUGGCUUACCAAGGCUUUGACGGGUAGCCGGCCUGAGAGAGUGACCGGCCACAUUGGGACUGAGAUACGGCCCAGACUCCUACGGGAGGCAGCAGUGGGGAAUAUUGCACAAUGGGCGGAAGCCUGAUGCAGCAACACCGCGUGCGGGAUGACGGCCUUCGGGUUGUAAACCGCUUUCGCCUGUGACGAAGCGUGAUUGACGGUAAUGGGUAAAGAAGCACCGGCUAACUACGUGCCAGCAGCCGCGGUGAUACGUAGGGUGCGAGCGUUGUCCGGAUUUAUUGGGCGUAAAGGGCUCGUAGGUGGUUGAUCGCGUCGGAAGUGUAAUCUUGGGGCUUAACCCUGAGCGUGCUUUCGAUACGGGUUGACUUGAGGAAGGUAGGGGAGACUGGAAUUCCU